GUCUCGUAAUUUGGGUUACUGUGUAGGUGGCCUCUUUCAUCUAUUCAUAACAAAGCUAAGCCUCCUGCCGCCGCCACCACCAAAGCCCCUUAGCUCGCCCGGGGCUCCCGGGGCGCGUUAACAGCGCACCAAGCUGGCUCCGGCGCCUGUCCGCCCGCGGGGCUGCUCCAACGCUCGGGUUUUGUUUACGAGAGCGGCGCGGAGAGAUGCGCAAGGCUCGGGGAACUAGGACCCAGGCCGCCAAAGGGUUGCAGCUGAGGCCCGGGGCUCGGGCCACUGGGAGGCUGCGUGGGCUGCUGACAGGUGUGGAGCGGCGGGAGGGAGGCCCUGGGGAGGAGCGCGAGAGAGGGAAACACUGACAAGCCCGAGGCUCAAGGAACAGAGGCGCCCCUGUGACAGGAGAUGGGUUUCCCCGGGUCAGAGGAGUGAGGUGGAGGAAAGGCAGGCGCCGAGAUUCUGGUUCUGGACAAUCCCUGGGGCCGGAGCUCCCAUACUUGAGGAGGUUCUCUCAUUUCCCUUGGCAACGGAGACCCAGGCUUUCAAACCUAGCACUUAGAAAGUUCUACUCAUCAUCUAACCUGAAUGAUCAUGGCUAAUAUUUAUUGAGUGCAUACUGCGUGCCGGGUCCCGCUUGAAAUUCAUUACGUGGAUUAAAACUCAUUUAAUACCCAUAACAACCCUGUUAGUGACUUGUUGUAAUCAGCCCCAUUUCGUUAGGAGGGGUGGAGACGUUGCGGAACUCGCCGGGGGUCCUACUGCUGGCAGACAGCAGAGUGCACCUGUGACCCACAGUAAAAGAACCACAUGGUAAAGAGCCAAAGAGGAAACCAGGAAGAAAAGGGGACCUUGGUGAUUCACAGCUCAGACAGUCAGCUCGUGAAUAGCUGAAAGCUGAUGCAGUUUUCACCAGCAAUUUGAGGAUCAAAUGAUUCCAUAUUUCACAAUUGAACUGCAUUUGAGGUUUUUGUUAAGGUCACGGACCCCAGUUAGAAA
This is a long non-coding RNA of Bos taurus (domestic cattle), 993 nucleotides long. Lineage: Eukaryota; Metazoa; Chordata; Mammalia; Artiodactyla; Bovidae. The record is from Ensembl.